ACAGACAUGAUGUUCUCAGUGGAAACGUUUUGCUCAGGUCUGCCAUAAUGUCAUCCAAAGAUCUGGUGUAAGCGAGGCUGAAGACAACAUUCCCAUUUCCUACGUCAGCUGACCUCAACAUGUGCCACGUGAUAUGCGCGCGCAGCUCUUCUUCACUCCCCUCACCGAAAAGGUCUGAUGCGUAAAGGAUACCUUUCUUGCACCUGUAGUAGCUUCCUGCAGACAGGACCUUCAGGGGAGCAAACAAAGGAAAACUAGUCAAACUGUGCUCACGGAAUAAGACAGUUUGCGAACCUUAACGCAGUAAUGGACUGUUCAAGACCUUGAUCAUACAUAAAUAUCAGUUGAUACAUUCGAAAUAUCUACGUUCUUGACUGGUAGCCACGAACGCCUGGUCCUUCUACAAGAGACGGGUAGGUGGCAGGGAGAUAAUCGGUGCCGUCAUGGACAUCAUCGUCUAUCGCCACGACUGAGUCUCGGUCAGCCAGCGAUGCCACACAAACUUCUUCAUCUGAUGGAAUCUGCUCCAUGUCACUGACAGCCGUGUCUGUCGAUAGGGAAUGUUCUCGAGCUGGGAUGUGAAAACACAGAUCCUAUCAAAGGUAAACGAGACACUGUCGAUCCUCAAGCCUACUAGCGGCGAUGAAGUGAUCACACUGGAAAACACGAUUUCUAUCCUUGCGACAGCUGUUACUGGUGGUAGGGGAGGUAAUAAAGGCGUGACGGUCGAGUUGGACACAGAGUCGCCUCGCUUCAGUCCCAACAACAACCAGCAUCUGAAAAUUAAUUAUUAGCUGCUGUACUAACACUAACCUAUGAAAAUGACAGGCUUCAGCAGUACAGUCGUUGGGAGUGAGUGAGAGUUUUCACAGGACGAGGGCGAGACUGUAGAUACACCUGUAACUGGCUGGUUUCAGACAAUGUUACUCUUUUGAAAUAAGUAUUCCAUACAAAGAGAAAACUCUAACUCUUGUUGGUGCUGCGGUGUAUGUGCCACUUGAAAACUCAGUUUAAGAUAGCAGAUGAGCUUUUCGGGAAACUAAAGAAACGUGAGCUAAUUAGGACAAUGAAUGUGUACUGCGACUUGGAAAUUUUAAUGUUAGAACAGGAAUUACACCUGACCUUAUUUACAUAUAUAUAUAUUCAUCUCGUGCGCCAUUGAGAGUAUACGAGUUGUGUGUGUAUAUCAAUAUCAUUGAGAAUAA
This is a long non-coding RNA of Pomacea canaliculata, 1205 nucleotides long. RefSeq lists it as uncharacterized. The record is from RefSeq and is a predicted model, not a curated record. Lineage: Eukaryota; Metazoa; Mollusca; Gastropoda; Architaenioglossa; Ampullariidae. The transcript has 4 exons.